RNAcentral lists this ribosomal RNA (253 nucleotides) under uncultured bacterium. RNAcentral's name for it is "partial 16S ribosomal RNA". It matches the Rfam family "Bacterial small subunit ribosomal RNA", at positions 524 to 776 of the family's 1533-position model. The record is from RNAcentral.
UACAGAGGUGGCAAGCGUUGUUCGGAAUUACUGGGCGUAAAGGGCGCGUAGGCGGCCUUCUAAGUCAGACGUGAAAUCCCCCGGCUUAACCUGGGAACUGCGUCUGAUACUGGGAGGCUUGAGUAUGGGAGAGGGAUGUAGAAUUCCAGGUGUAGCGGUGAAAUGCGUAGAGAUCGGGAGGAACACCAGUGGCGAAGGCGGCUACCUGGACCAGCACUGACACUGAGGCACGAAAGCGUGGGGAGCAAACAGG